This 310-nucleotide long non-coding RNA is filed under the name Elaeis guineensis (African oil palm). Its description in RNAcentral is "long non-coding RNA (EGUI_LNC073512)". Lineage: Eukaryota; Viridiplantae; Streptophyta; Magnoliopsida; Arecales; Arecaceae. The record is from RNAcentral.
CUCGAGAUAAGAAUUUCUCCUUUAAUUUAUUUUACUCUCCUCAUUUACAGUCAAUAUUUCUAACAAUGUAUUUUUCUUUUGCAGCUAGCCCAUGAUGUCAUUGUCCUUAGCAAGGGCUUCGUUGGUUUUAACCAAGUGAAUCUCUCACUGGAGGAGAAGCCAAAAGCCUCCAAUGCCUCGAUGGAGGCCACUGAGAGGGUGAAGAAGGUGGCCAAGAAGGAUGCUUCCCAAGCUAGGUCUGAGCUCCUGGCUACUCGGGAGAAGACCAGUGCCCUCAAAGGCCUCAUUGCAGUGGAAUGGGAUGCCACCG